AUGGAGCAGCAGAUCGAGCAGAUCGCCGGCGGCGAGAAGGCCAACUUUGCAAUGCCGAUGGAGGAGGAGAUCGUGCAGAUCGCCGGCGGCGACCAUGUCAAGAUGGCCAAGUUGAGCGAGAUAUGUUCUUGGUUUGACAACAGACGACAGAUGUCCUGGACGACGCAAACCAUGAUCAAGCAUAUGAAGAAGAGUGAGAAUUUGGCGCUCUGUCCCCCCGCCAGCAGUACCGGUGGAGUUCGUCAAGGUCCUCCUUUGGUCGAUGGAGCAGACGAAUCCCCCCAAGGAGUGGGUCAGGCGAAGGUGGUGGGCGUACAGAUCCAGGGUAGAGCAUCCAUAGGAUCAGGAAGCCACCCUGUAUGA
RNAcentral lists this ribosomal RNA (363 nucleotides) under Triticum aestivum (bread wheat). RNAcentral describes it as "partial small subunit ribosomal RNA". Lineage: Eukaryota; Viridiplantae; Streptophyta; Magnoliopsida; Poales; Poaceae. The record is from RNAcentral.